Molecule: ribosomal RNA, 911 nt
Filed under: Leptodontidium irregulare
Lineage: Eukaryota; Fungi; Ascomycota; Leotiomycetes; Helotiales; Leptodontidiaceae
Description: LSU rRNA
Rfam family: Eukaryotic large subunit ribosomal RNA
Source: RNAcentral
GCAUAUCAAUAAGCGGAGGAAAAGAACCAACAGGGAUUGCCUCAGUAACGGCGAGUGAAGCGGCAACAGCUCAAAUUUGAAAUCUGGCUCUUUCAGGGUCCGAGUUGUAAUUUGUAGAAGAUGCUUCGGGUGUGGCUCCGGUCUAAGUUCCUUGGAACAGGACGUCAUAGAGGGUGAGAAUCCCGUAUGUGACUGGUUGCCUUCGCCCAUGUGAAGCUCUUUCGACGAGUCGAGUUGUUUGGGAAUGCAGCUCAAAAUGGGUGGUAAAUUUCAUCUAAAGCUAAAUAUUGGCCAGAGACCGAUAGCGCACAAGUAGAGUGAUCGAAAGAUGAAAAGCACUUUGGAAAGAGAGUUAAACAGUACGUGAAAUUGUUGAAAGGGAAGCGCUUGCAACCAGACUUGCGUGCGGUCGAUCAUCCGGUGUUCUCACCGGUGCACUCGAUCGUAUUCAGGCCAGCAUCGGUUUCGGUGGUUGGAUAAAGGCCUUGGGAAUGUAGCUUCUCUCGGGGAGUGUUAUAGCCCAAGGUGCAAUGCAGCCUACCGGGACCGAGGACCGCGCUUCGGCUAGGAUGCUGGCGUAAUGGUUGUAAGCGACCCGUCUUGAAACACGGACCAAGGAGUCUAACAUCUAUGCGAGUGUUUGGGUGUCAAACCCAUACGCGUAAUGAAAGUGAACGGAGGUGAGAACCCUUAAGGGUGCAUCAUCGACCGAUCCUGAUGUCUUCGGAUGGAUUUGAGUAAGAGCAUAGCUGUUGGGACCCGAAAGAUGGUGAACUAUGCCUGAAUAGGGUGAAGCCAGAGGAAACUCUGGUGGAGGCUCGCAGCGGUUCUGACGUGCAAAUCGAUCGUCAAAUUUGGGUAUAGGGGCGAAAGACUAAUCGAAACCAUCUAGUAGCUGGUUCCUGCCGAAG